CGCUGGCGGCGUGCUUAACACAUGCAAGUCGAACGAUGAACCGCUUUCGGGCGGGGAUUAGUGGCGAACGGGUGAGUAACACGUGGGCAAUCUGCCCUGCACUCUGGGACAAGCCCUGGAAACGGGGUCUAAUACCGGAUAUGACUGUCCGCCGCAUGGUGGAUGGUGUAAAGCUCCGGCGGUGCAGGAUGAGCCCGCGGCCUAUCAGCUUGUUGGUGAGGUAGUGGCUCACCAAGGCGACGACGGGUAGCCGGCCUGAGAGGGCGACCGGCCACACUGGGACUGAGACACGGCCCAGACUCCUACGGGAGGCAGCAGUGGGGAAUAUUGCACAAUGGGCGAAAGCCUGAUGCAGCGA
This 358-nucleotide ribosomal RNA is filed under the name Streptomyces sp. DW 32. Its description in RNAcentral is "bacterial SSU rRNA". It matches the Rfam family "Bacterial small subunit ribosomal RNA", at positions 34 to 394 of the family's 1533-position model. Lineage: Bacteria; Bacillati; Actinomycetota; Actinomycetes; Kitasatosporales; Streptomycetaceae. The record is from RNAcentral.